This 468-nucleotide ribosomal RNA is filed under the name uncultured bacterium. RNAcentral describes it as "partial 16S ribosomal RNA". It matches the Rfam family "Bacterial small subunit ribosomal RNA", at positions 28 to 507 of the family's 1533-position model. The record is from RNAcentral.
GACGAACGCUGGCGGCGUGCUUAACACAUGCAAGUCGAACGGAAAGGCCCUGCUUUUGUGGGGUGCUCGAGUGGCGAACGGGUGAGUAACACGUGAGUAACCUGCCCUUGACUUUGGGAUAACUUCAGGAAACUGGGGCUAAUACCGGAUAGGAGCUCCUGCUGCAUGGUGGGGGUUGGAAAGUUUCGGCGGUUGGGGAUGGACUCUCGGCUUAUCAGCUUGUUGGUGGGGUAGUGGCUUACCAAGGCUUUGACGGGUAGCCGGCCUGAGAGGGUGACCGGCCACAUUGGGACUGAGAUACGGCCCAGACUCCUACGGGAGGCAGCAGUGGGGAAUAUUGCACAAUGGGCGGAAGCCUGAUGCAGCAACGCCGCGUGCGGGUUGACGGCCUUCGGGUUGUAAACCGCUUUCGCCUGUGACGAAGCGUGAGUGACGGUAAUGGGUAAAGAAGCACCGGCUAACUACGUG